RNAcentral lists this ribosomal RNA (465 nucleotides) under uncultured bacterium. Its description in RNAcentral is "partial 16S ribosomal RNA". It matches the Rfam family "Bacterial small subunit ribosomal RNA", at positions 28 to 507 of the family's 1533-position model. The record is from RNAcentral.
GACGAACGCUGGCGGCGUGCUUAACACAUGCAAGUCGAACGCUGAACCCGCUUCGGUGGGGGAUGAGUGGCGAACGGGUGAGUAACACGUGGGCAACCUGCCCCCGGCUCUGGGAUAACUCCAAGAAAUUGGGGCUAAUACCGGAUGUGACCGCUGGCCGCAUGGUCUGGUGGUGGAAAGGGUUUCCGGCUGGGGAUGAGCCCGCGGCCUAUCAGCUUGUUGGUGGGGUAGUGGCCUACCAAGGCGACGACGGGUAGCCGGCCUGAGAGGGUGACCGGCCACACUGGGACUGAGACACGGCCCAGACUCCUACGGGAGGCAGCAGUGGGGAAUAUUGCGCAAUGGGCGGAAGCCUGACGCAGCGACGCCGCGUGGGGGAUGACGGCCUUCGGGUUGUAAACCUCUUUCAGCAGGGACGAAGCGCAAGUGACGGUACCUGCAGAAGAAGCACCGGCCAACUACGUG